RNAcentral lists this small nuclear RNA (189 nucleotides) under Dictyocaulus viviparus (bovine lungworm). RNAcentral's name for it is "U2 spliceosomal RNA". It matches the Rfam family "U2 spliceosomal RNA". From Rfam's summary of the family: U2 is a small nuclear RNA (snRNA) component of the spliceosome (involved in pre-mRNA splicing). The record is from Rfam by way of RNAcentral. Lineage: Eukaryota; Metazoa; Nematoda; Chromadorea; Rhabditida; Metastrongylidae.
AUCGCUUCUCGGUCUUUUGAUUCAGAUCAGAGUUUUAGUUUCUGUUCUUAUCGAAUUCACCUUUGAUACAGAUCCAAUAGGAAGGAUAUCGCUAAGGUUGCUUGAUUUUUUAAAGUGGAUGAGGUCGUGGGCUUGCCCAUGCCCGCUUGCUUUACCACUGCUCGGCCCAGCGUUAUUUGAGGAUUUUGU